Molecule: long non-coding RNA, 2804 nt
Organism: Pogoniulus pusillus (Red-fronted tinkerbird)
Lineage: Eukaryota; Metazoa; Chordata; Aves; Piciformes; Lybiidae
Exons: 3
Source: RefSeq, a predicted model, not a curated record
AUUGUGGGCAGAAGGAUCCUCCUCGGAUCAUCACCGGGCCAUCACCAGUAACAAGCUGGCUGUGCUGCAAAGGCUGUGCACACAGGCAGGCUGUGGGGUAUGAUUAGGUCCUGCUUAGGGGCAGCAAAAUGAAGAAGAAGCCUUGGAAGACUCCAUGCUGACAGCUCGGCACUGAGAAGUGGAGGCUCUUGUAUCACAGAGCCUGGAAGAAUGCUGAAGAUCUGCCUGCAGGCAGGCGUGGUGCUGCCUCCUGGGAGACUAGCAGGAAGAUUUAUCACCUCCUUCCAGAGACUUGCAGCAAGGAGGAGUGUCCAAAUGUGUUUGGAGAAAACAGAUAAAAGAUUUGACCUCCAGUCUGUGCUAACAGCAGUGGGCACUGAACUAGAUGAUCUGACUGGCAAGCUGAAUUAACCUGACCACUAAGUGGAGGUGAUUAAAACCAGGGCUGGACAGACUUCCUUGCAGACAGCAAGGACACAGAUCACUCCAUUCCACAUGUCCCUGGCACACUAACAUUUGCCUCUGGAAGAACAGCUUUCAAAGCUGGACACAAAUCAAUCACCAUCUCUGUUUAUCUGCUAAGGCUUCAGCUGACAAAGCAAAAACCUUUUGAUUACAUUAGAAACAAAAACAGCAGCCCAGGGGGUUUUGUUUCUGUUUUGGUUGUUGGUUUGUUUUGGUGUUUUGCCAAGGAAAGCAUCUAUGUAGCAAACCACAGAAGAUGCUAAAAGAGAAAUAGCAAUCCAGUACCAUGCAGACCAAAGUGGUUCUUCUGCCUGUUUCUGCACUGGGUUUUCUGUCUCUCUUCCCAUCACCUGCACUCCUCUCCUCUACUGAAUGCAAAUGCAAAGAAGCUUAAAUCCAAUACAGAAAGUCACCAAGUUCAGGCAGAUUUGGAAUGAGGUGAAGAAAGCUCACCCAGGCUCACAGCCUAAUUCUGGCUUCAGUAAUUCUGAAAGCAAACAGAGCCUGCAUCCAUCAGGGGAGAGCCUGGAGCAGCCUCUGGCAGCAGGGAUAUGGAGCUGUACCCUCUCAAAUGCAGGGGGGUUAACAAACUUCUCUGAAACUGUCCUUUGGCUCUCUUCUGGCUGCCAGCUGAGACAGGGCAACACAAACCUCACAAACUACUAUUUCAAGUAUGUUUAUAGCAAUGUUGCAACAUCAUUAUUCCAACCACUCUUGUUAUGGCAGCCAAGCUGUUUACAGACAAAGAAAUGUUCCUGCAGCAAAAGGAAUCACAAAGAGCUGUACCAACAGUUUGUGAGCUGGAGUGGGACACAUCUACUGCUCAGACACACAGGACCAUCAGCCUGGAGUGGGACAAGAAGAAAGUCAUCUCUGAUAGUAACCAUCCUCCCCUCCUCCUAACUCACUGCUUCUUACCCCUCUGCAGUCUGUGGAGUACCAUAAACACACGUGACAGCUUCAGAGUUUUGGGUAGCUUUGUAAAAUAAAUCUCCAGCAGCUAUAGCUCUCAAAGCUCAGCCAGAGCUGUUGCUUCCAGCACAUUAUGCUCAUAACAAGGAUGGUAAUAGCUUUAGCCCUUUCCAUUGGUCCUUGCCCAUUUGGGGUCGUUUGGCUCUGCAUUUAAAUUCUGGUGGGGUUUUUGAAGUAUCACAAAAAUACAGAGAUAAGAAUUUACAGGGAAAACAUCACGUGAGCUGGCAGAGAAAGGAUUGGUUUUGACAAGCAUGUGGAUUGCAGAGGAGGGUAAUGGGUGAGGAGAUGGCACCGUCCUAGGAGAAAUGUCAUGGAAACAGAGGCAUUCCCACUAUGGGCACCAGCUGGCAAAUCCCAUCCUCUCUUUCAGGGCAAAGAAUUUUCACCCAAAGGAUUCAGUCCUUGCUUGAAAGCACUGUCCUGCUCUUUGUCCCGUGGGACUCGCAGGGGCUCCAUCCCAAAGAUGCUCACCCAUCAGGAGAUCUGGAGAGGGUGGCCAUGUCCUUGAAGACUCUGAUGUUUGCUGCUGCCAGCUAAACACGAGGCUGUGCUUUCCUUCAUGUUAUUUACAAGUUGUAGUAAGCUCUAACAGCUGAGGUAUCUGUGCUCUUCAGCUGAUGGCUUCAAGCGGAAGAGUCUGAAGUAAUCCAGCACAGACAGAGACAAGCCCUGAGUUACUGCAUCUAAGUCCAUACCUGGCAGGAGAAGGUGCAGCCUUCGGCAGAGGAACGCCUGCUUUCUGCUCCUCUAGGAGGAGGAGACUCAGUUCAGCACCUUUGCAGUCACAAGCAAAUGUCUUCUUAAGAGCUGCUCUCGUCUCUCCUUUCAGUUCAGGAAGCUUUCUCAUUCCUCUCCAGCAGCAGACACCUCUCACCCAGGAGUCUCGCAGGCUGUUCUCCCAGGGAUGAUGUCCCUCAGACGCAGUGGUGGAUGCCAGGUUCUCCUAACAAUGAGAGAGAGCUGAGUGUCUGCACACGGGUGUCACAGCUGCUAACCACGGCACGCAAGGCUCCAGCACACAGACCAGAGGGGACAGCGCUCAGGCACCAGAGCUCCUUGCAGUGUCACCGACAGCUGUGCUGCUGGGCAGGGACAGAGCUGCAGAGCUGAGCAGCCAGGGCUGCAGCUCCAGAGCUGGUGCUGAGCCUGCUCCCAGUGUAAAGCUUUCCAGUCACAGGAAUGCUGGAACAGCCUAAGGAUUGCUAAGUGGGUUAGUCAUUUUCUUCUGGUCACGACUUUCACUUGGGUUGUGCACAGAAACACAAUGUGGUGAUAUUCAUAAAAGGCAAAACCUCAGCUGUGCACAUUUGGGGGUUUCUUUCUCUGAGGUUAAAUGAUUAUAUUAAAUCCCCGUGAUUUUUUUA